AACGAACGCUGGCGGCAGGCCUAACACAUGCAAGUCGAGCGAGGACUUCGGUCCUAGCGGCGGACGGGUGAGUAACGCGUGGGAACGUGCCCUUUGCUUCGGAAUAGCCUUGGGAAACUGGGAGUAAUACCGGAUGAGCCCUUUGGGGGAAAGAUUUAUCGGCGAAGGAUCGGCCCGCGUUGGAUUAGGUAGUUGGUGGGGUAAUGGCCUACCAAGCCGACGAUCCAUAGCUGGUUUGAGAGGAUGAUCAGCCACACUGGGACUGAGACACGGCCCAGACUCCUACGGGAGGCAGCAGUGGGGAAUCUUAGACAAUGGGGGAAACCCUGAUCGAGCCAUGCCGCGUGAGCGAUGAAGGCCUUAGGGUUGUAAAGCUCUUUCAGCUGGGAAGAUAAUGACGGUACCAGCAGAAGAAGCCCCGGCUAACUCCGUG
This 433-nucleotide ribosomal RNA is filed under the name uncultured bacterium. Its description in RNAcentral is "partial 16S ribosomal RNA". It matches the Rfam family "Bacterial small subunit ribosomal RNA", at positions 29 to 507 of the family's 1533-position model. The record is from RNAcentral.